GAUGAACGCUGGCGGCGUGCUUAACACAUGCAAGUCGAACGGAAAGGCCCAAGCUUGCUUGGGUACUCGAGUGGCGAACGGGUGAGUAACACGUGGGUGAUCUGCCCUGCACUUCGGGAUAAGCCUGGGAAACUGGGUCUAAUACCGGAUAGGACCACAUUUUGGAUGGUGUGGUGUAAAGUUUUUCGGUGUGGGAUGAGCUCGCGGCCUAUCAGCUUGUUGGUGGGGUAAUGGCCUACCAAGGCGUCGACGGGUAGCCGGCCUGAGAGGGUGUAAGGCCACAUUGGGACGGAGAUACGGGCCAGACACCUACGGGGGGGAGAAGUGGGGAGGAUAGCACAAUGGGGGCAAGCCUGAUGCAGAGACGCCGCGUGGGGGAUGACGGCCUUCGGGUUGUAAACUCCUUUCGCUAGGGACGAAGCGUUUUUGUGACGGUACCUGGAAAAGAAGCACCGGCUAACUACGUG
This 467-nucleotide ribosomal RNA is filed under the name uncultured bacterium. RNAcentral's name for it is "partial 16S ribosomal RNA". It matches the Rfam family "Bacterial small subunit ribosomal RNA", at positions 28 to 507 of the family's 1533-position model. The record is from RNAcentral.